GACGAACGCUGGCGGCGCGCUUAACACAUGCGAGUCGAGCGAGAACCAGGGCUUCGGCCCUGGGGACAGCGGCGAACGGGUGAGUAACACGUGGAUAACCUGCCCUCGGCACCGGGAUAGCCCGGGGAAACCCGGAUUAAUACCGGAUGGCCCUUCCGGCUCACGAGCCGGUCGGAAAAGGUAGCUUCGGCCUCCGGCCGAGGAUGGGUCCGCGGCGGAUUAGGUUGUAGGUGGGGUAACGGCCCACCAAGGCUCCGAUCCGUAGCUGGUCUGAGAGGACGAUCAGCCACACUGGGACUGAGACACGGCCCAGACUCCUACGGGAGGCAGCAGUGGGGAAUCUUGCGCAAUGGGCGAAAGCCUGACGCAGCGACGCCGCGUGAGGGAGGAAGGCCUUCGGGUUGUAAACCUCUUUCAGGAGGGACGAAGCUACUCGGGUGAAUAGCCCAGAGGGUGACGGUACCUCCAGAAGAAGCCCCGGCUAACUACGUGCCAGCCGCCGCAGUAA
This 508-nucleotide ribosomal RNA is filed under the name uncultured bacterium. Its description in RNAcentral is "partial 16S ribosomal RNA". It matches the Rfam family "Bacterial small subunit ribosomal RNA", at positions 28 to 523 of the family's 1533-position model. The record is from RNAcentral.